This 93-nucleotide microRNA precursor is filed under the name Bigelowiella natans CCMP2755. RNAcentral describes it as "miRNA EPrBNAG00000013674". The record is from RNAcentral. Lineage: Eukaryota; Cercozoa; Chlorarachniophyceae.
ACUGGAAUCAUUAUAUGAUGUGAUGAUGACGAAGAUGAUGAUAUAUGGCAGUAGCAGUCAUCCUCCUCGUCAUCAUCAUGAUCAUGAUCAUGA